ACAAAGUGGAUUUGGAUUCCCGCUUAGUGGCGAAAGGGUGAGUAACACGUGGGUUAUCUACCUCAGAGACUGGAAUAACAAUUGGAAACGAUUGCUAAUGCCGGAUGAUAUAUAAAACGAUAUGUUGUUUUAUAUUAAAAGGAGCCUUUAAAGCUUCACUUUGAGAUGAGCCCGCGGCGUAUUAGCUAGUUGGUGAGGUAAUGGCCCACCAAGGCAACGAUGCGUAGCCGGCCUGAGAGGGUGAUCGGCCACAUUGGGACUGAGACACGGCCCAAACUCC
RNAcentral lists this ribosomal RNA (280 nucleotides) under uncultured bacterium. RNAcentral describes it as "partial 16S ribosomal RNA". It matches the Rfam family "Bacterial small subunit ribosomal RNA", at positions 66 to 339 of the family's 1533-position model. The record is from RNAcentral.